Molecule: long non-coding RNA, 936 nt
Organism: Hippocampus comes (tiger tail seahorse)
Lineage: Eukaryota; Metazoa; Chordata; Actinopteri; Syngnathiformes; Syngnathidae
Exons: 2
Source: RefSeq, a predicted model, not a curated record
UUUCCUGUCGUGUUGUCCUCCAGGUGGAACAGCUUCCGCCUGCAGCGGAAGCAGUGUUGCUAACAUUAGCAGAGCCCACAGCGAUGGCAAUCUUUCCAGCGCUGCCGAACGCAUCAGAGACUCCAAAAAACGUUCGAAGCAGCGCAAGCUCCAGCAGAAGGCUCUGCGCAAGCGUCAGCUGAAGGAACAGCGUCAGGCCCGCAAGGAGCGUCUGAGCGGCCUGUUCCUUAAUGAGGAGGUGCUAUCGCUGCGGGUAACCGAGGAAGAUGACCACGGUGACGACCUGGACAUACUCAUGUGACACCAGUGAAGGAAUCAGUGCUCCCUCUAACGCCUACUCUUGCCACUGUAGAGAUUAGCAUGCUUACUUAGUUUAGUGUCAGACAACGCCACCCUUUGACUUUGCUGUUACGAAGAUCUUCGAGGAGCGAGUGAUAAACAUGGUCACUUUGACAGGGUUUGACGAUUCCUUCCAAAACGUGGGGGAUAUUUGGGCUGACGUGACAUUUCAGCAUGAAACUAAAAUGCACUUUAACUGUGCAGGUGGAAUAUUAAUUCUUAAUGUGUCCCAAAUAGGGUAACACAGUAAACUCCACGCACCUCCCCAAAAUAAAAUAAUUAUUAUUGUGCAAAAAAAAAAAAAAAAAAAAAAAUAUCGCCCUCUACUGUUGUCUGAAAAUGACAUCAAGGUGCCAUCGCGAACUUCAACAGUUCACCUGUUUUCUGGCUUUGGCCUCGUGGUGUUCACAAUGCAAACCUGAGGGAAGGUUGACAUUAAUUUCAUUGGACAGCACAGGACGGUAUAAGAUAAACUGGCAGAGUUCUGAGAUGAAUGAUUCAUCUGUGUUAUUCUGAUUCCUCCAACACAAUUUUAAUCAAAUGACCAUCUAUAAUUGUAAAGAUUUUUUUUUUUUGCCAUGAUGUCCCCUUUAAGAG